GAUGAAGAACGCAGCGAAAUGCGAUAAGUAAUGUGAAUUGCAGAAUUCAGUGAAUCAUCGAAUCUUUGAACGCACAUUGCGCCCCCUGGUAUUCCGGGGGGCAUGCCUGUCCGAGCGUCAUUACAACCCUCAAGCCCAGCUUGGUGUUGGGCCCCGCCGCCCCGGCGGGCCCUAAAGUCAGUGGCGGUGCCGUCCGGCUCCGAGCGUAGUAAUUCUUCUCGCUCUGGAGGUCCGGUCGUGUGCUCGCCAGCAACCCCCAAUUUUUUUCAGGUUGACCUCGGAUCAGGUAGGGAUACCCGCUGAACUCAAGCAUAUCAAUAAGCGGAGGA
RNAcentral lists this unclassified non-coding RNA (329 nucleotides) under soil metagenome. RNAcentral's name for it is "partial contains 5.8S ribosomal RNA, internal transcribed spacer 2, and large subunit ribosomal RNA". The stretch from base 1 to 120 matches the Rfam family "5.8S ribosomal RNA", at positions 35 to 154 of the family's 154-position model. The record is from RNAcentral.